RNAcentral lists this ribosomal RNA (501 nucleotides) under uncultured bacterium. RNAcentral's name for it is "partial 16S ribosomal RNA". It matches the Rfam family "Bacterial small subunit ribosomal RNA", at positions 30 to 523 of the family's 1533-position model. The record is from RNAcentral.
AUUGAACGCUGGCGGCAGGCUUAACACAUGCAAGUCGAGCGGAGAGAGGUAGCUUGCUACUGAUCUUAGCGGCGGACGGGUGAGUAAUGCUUAGGAAUCUGCCUAUUAGUGGGGGACAACAUUUCGAAAGGAAUGCUAAUACCGCAUACGUCCUACGGGAGAAAGCAGGGGAUCUUCGGACCUUGCGCUAAUAGAUGAGCCUAAGUCGGAUUAGCUAGUUGGUGGGGUAAAGGCCUACCAAGGCGACGAUCUGUAGCGGGUCUGAGAGGAUGAUCCGCCACACUGGGACUGAGACACGGCCCAGACGCCUACGGGGGGCAGCAGUGGGGAAUAUUGGACAAUGGGCGGAAGCCUGAUCCAGCCAUGCCGCGUGUGUGAAGAAGGCCUUAUGGUUGUAAAGCACUUUAAGCGAGGAGGAGGCUACUUUAGUUAAUACCUAGAGAUAGUGGACGUUACUCGCAGAAUAAGCACCGGCUAACUCUGUGCCAGCCGCCGCAGUAA